AGUCAGCCUUUGUAGUUCUGAGCUCAGAGAGGGGGUGACACAUACUGGGCUUCAGGUCAGAAGCCUGGCUUGGGUGGCUUUUGGAGAAAUUUUCCCUCUGCUCCCAAACUCUUAAAAGGUGCUCAUCACACCACUGGCCUCCAAUCACAGCAUAAGCACGUGUUCCAAAGGCCAUCCUCCAGCAGAGAUUUCGGCAGUGGUACCUGUUGGCUGGCUCAUGGGGUCCUUUCCUUUUUCCAUUCCCUGGAAGCCGUCAACUGGACUGAAUACAACAUCUUUGCGUCUUUUUCUUCACCCUCCCCACAUGCUUGCAUCUCCCAGACUCCUAGGGUUAAUCCCCAGGACAACCUUGCUUUGAAAGAAAAAAUGUGGUGAGCCUACUUGAAGAUUUGGAUUCCAAGAGGCCUCUGUCUGUCCUGCCUCAGCCAGAGCCAGACAGCCAGCUCAAGGAGAUGGGCAAUUUACAGAGAAAGCAGCACUGGUCCUAUAGUACCCCUCCUCAGGAAUGUCUCCCCAGUGCAAGGACAAAGACUGAAGAGACUGCUAUAUUGAUGGACUCUCAAGCCAACUAUGAAGUUGAAACAAAGAAAGUGAUCACCUGAAGACACCUCCUCUGCUAAGAAACACCCCCAAAUUGUGCAGCUUCUGCCACUAGAACUCUCAGAACAAGAGACAAUCUUUUCAAGAAACAGAAAAACUCAAUAAUGACAUCUAGAUUUUCAUGAGCCAAGAACUUUCCCUUCCUCAUGUGUAUUCCUCUGUUUGUACUUAAAUUCAUGUGACAUUCA
RNAcentral lists this long non-coding RNA (788 nucleotides) under Homo sapiens (human). Its description in RNAcentral is "HSALNT0365452". The record is from RNAcentral. Lineage: Eukaryota; Metazoa; Chordata; Mammalia; Primates; Hominidae.